AGUGAACGCUGGCGGCAGGCCUAACACAUGCAAGUCGAACGGCAGCACAGUAAGAGCUUGCUCUUACGGGUGGCGAGUGGCGGACGGGUGAGGAAUAAAUCGGAAUCUACUUUUUCGUGGGGGAUAACGUAGGGAAACUUACGCUAAUACCGCAUACGACCUACGGGUGAAAGCAGGGGAUCUUCGGACCUUGCGCGAUUGAAUGAGCCGAUGUCGGAUUAGCUAGUUGGCGGGGUAAAGGCCCACCAAGGCGACGAUCCGUAGCUGGUCUGAGAGGAUGAUCAGCCACACUGGAACUGAGACACGGUCCAGACUCCUACGGGAGGCAGCAGUGGGGAAUAUUGGACAAUGGGCGCAAGCCUGAUCCAGCCAUACCGCGUGGGUGAAGAAGGCCUUCGGGUUGUAAAGCCCUUUUGUUGGGAAAGAAAAGCAGCAGGUUAAUACCCCGCUGUUCUGACGGUACCCAAAGAAUAAGCACCGGCUAACUUCGUG
Molecule: ribosomal RNA, 492 nt
Filed under: uncultured bacterium
Lineage: Bacteria
Description: partial 16S ribosomal RNA
Rfam family: Bacterial small subunit ribosomal RNA
Source: RNAcentral